RNAcentral lists this transfer RNA (76 nucleotides) under Haematospirillum jordaniae. Its description in RNAcentral is "tRNA-Val". It matches the Rfam family "tRNA". From Rfam's summary of the family: Transfer RNA (tRNA) molecules are approximately 80 nucleotides in length. Their secondary structure includes four short double-helical elements and three loops (D, anti-codon, and T loops). Lineage: Bacteria; Pseudomonadati; Pseudomonadota; Alphaproteobacteria; Rhodospirillales; Novispirillaceae. RNAcentral also lists the same sequence under 1 other name. The record is from RNAcentral.
GGGCGGUUAGCUCAGUUGGUAGAGCGUCGUCUUUACACGGCGAAUGUCGGGAGUUCGAGACUCUCACCGCCCACCA